GAUGAACGCUGGCGGCGUGCUUAACACAUGCAAGUCGAACGGUGAACGAGGGAGCUUGCUCCCUCCGGAUCAGUGGCGAACGGGUGAGUAACACGUGAGCAAUCUGCCCUGGACUCUGGGAUAAGCGUUGGAAACGACGUCUAAUACCGGAUACGAGGCGUGGGGGCAUCCCCAACGCCUGGAAAGAACUUCGGUCCAGGAUGAGCUCGCGGCCUAUCAGGUAGUUGGUGAGGUAACGGCUCACCAAGCCUACGACGGGUAGCCGGCCUGAGAGGGUGACCGGCCACACUGGGACUGAGACACGGCCCAGACUCCUACGGGAGGCAGCAGUGGGGAAUAUUGCACAAUGGGCGCAAGCCUGAUGCAGCAACGCCGCGUGAGGGACGACGGCCUUCGGGUUGUAAACCUCUUUUAGCAGGGAAGAAGCGAAAGUGACGGUACCUGCAGAAAAAGCACCGGCUAACUACGUGCCAGCCGCCGCGGUAA
This 486-nucleotide ribosomal RNA is filed under the name uncultured bacterium. Its description in RNAcentral is "partial 16S ribosomal RNA". It matches the Rfam family "Bacterial small subunit ribosomal RNA", at positions 28 to 523 of the family's 1533-position model. The record is from RNAcentral.